This 440-nucleotide ribosomal RNA is filed under the name uncultured bacterium. Its description in RNAcentral is "partial 16S ribosomal RNA". It matches the Rfam family "Bacterial small subunit ribosomal RNA", at positions 338 to 795 of the family's 1533-position model. The record is from RNAcentral.
CCUACGGGAGGCAGCAGUGGGGAAUAUUGCACAAUGGGGGAAACCCUGAUGCAGCGACGCCGCGUGAGUGCAGAAGUCUUUCGGUAUGUAAAGCUCUAUCAGCAGGGAAGAAAAUGACGGUACCUGAUUAAGAAGCCCCGGCUAACUACGUUCCAGCAGCCGCGGUAUUACGUAGGGGGCAAGCGUUAUCCGGAUUUACUGGGUGUAAAGGGGACGUAGAAGGCAGCACAAGGCGGGGGUGAAAUGCCCGGGCUUAACCCCGGAACUGAUUGGGAAACUGGGCAGCUAGAGUGCAGUAGAGGUAAGUGGAAUUACUAGUGUAGCGGUGAAAUGCGUAGAUAGUAGGAGGAACACCAGUGGCGAAGGCGGCUUACUGGACUGUAACUGACGUUGAGGCUCGAAAGCGUGGGGAGCAAACAGGAGUAGAUACCCUUGUAGUC